UGGAUUUUUCCUCAGAGAGGGAAUGGUGCAACAUAUAACUGGUUACACUUAGAAGAGUGAUGGCUGACUGGCUAGCGUUUUGCUGAGCCCUGAAGCGUAAGAACACAGAAGUGUCAAUCAUUUUGUCUCAAUGCAAGAAAGUUAGGUUGUUUAGUGUUUCUGAUCCCGACAGAGAGGAGAAACAAAAGCCAGGGGGAUUUGAAACAACCAACCAUGCAGCGCUGACUAGCUCAUGCUUGCCUGUGGAACAAUCGAGACAGCGAUAUCAGGUAGCAGCUCAGGAAUGGAACUACCCAUCUUCUGGAACCCAACAUCCCCUUUGAUAUCCAGGGAAGCACCUACACUCCUAGUUUUCAGGUACUUAUUGAAGACUACUCUUUUUACCCAGGCCUUCCUAGGGUAAAUGUUUUCCCAAUUUUAAUAAUUGAUGGUUUUACCUGUUUUAAUAAUGACUUGUGUACCACUGAGAUUUUAUUCCUUGGUUCAGUGUUUCCACCUGGGGUCACUUUGGCAAGCAUAGGAAGUGGUCACAGAAGUUGGCCAUUUUCCUGUGCUUGCCAAUGAAGACCAGGUAGGUUCAGACAACGUGGUCCAGUAUAUGCCCGUGAAGCAAUCUGAAGAGUGCUCUGCAGCAGUUUCUCUUUAUAGUGCUCUAGAGAGUGCUAAGGGUGCAGCGAGUGAACACAGAGCACAGGAUCAUCUGGAUCCUGCACCCUAGAAGUACCCUUUAGGCACACAGAUGUGCAGCCAGCAUGCAUCUGGAGUGAUCCCACAACAAUCUUAAGGUCCCAUGCAGAUCCUACUACAUUAGACUAGGUCUGAGAAAAGCUGUACAGUGAACAACUAAUUACUGUACAUAUUGUAAGCAAAGUGGUUUCUCUGCAUCCAUUUAUUUUUCUCACAAGCUAAGAAGAAAUUUUUCUCACAGCUCUGCGAUUUUUUUUUUUUGCAAAAGGCCAUCUUUCCAUCUCCAAUAUCUUCUGAGCUGUGACCAUUGGCUCCCACAAGGAAAAAAAAACCCAGCAAAAUUAAGCCAGUAAGACUUAAGUGUUUGUUGAUUACAUUGAGACACAGAAACGUGUUUCCUUAGUUUAUGCAAAAUAUUUUUUAACAUAGCUUCAGGUACUGACCUUGCUGUUAAACCAGGCAUCAAAUUAAUAACAAAUAUGUAUAUCAAAGAAAUACUAGUUUAACAGAACAACCCAAUGUAUGUUCUUCUGAAGUCCUCUGCUCAGCAGGUCUUAUUUCCUGCUCAAUACAGUACACUUAAGUAGCAUUCACACUGAAGCUUUAAUCCAGCUUCAGUCCACUUUCAGGGUGAGAAAACAAAUCAGCAAAGAGACAAGCUAUUUUCUUUUGGCAUUAUCUAAUUCAGAAAAUCUAGCUUUGGGUUAAAUAAUGUG
This 1403-nucleotide long non-coding RNA is filed under the name Salvator merianae (Argentine black and white tegu). Its description in RNAcentral is "lncRNA (ENSSMRG00000015427.1)". Lineage: Eukaryota; Metazoa; Chordata; Lepidosauria; Squamata; Teiidae. The record is from RNAcentral.